GGCCUUUCUCCCACGGGGCUGUGGCAGGUCCCUUUUCUCCUCAGCCAGGGCUAGAGGCCAAGAUCAAGCCCUGAGGAUCAUUGUCGGGGCUGUCAUGAGCUGGGCAGCCUUGUUUUCCUGCCUCAGACAUUU
This is a non-coding RNA of Manis pentadactyla (Chinese pangolin), 132 nucleotides long. NCBI's taxonomy places the organism in Eukaryota, Metazoa, Chordata, Mammalia, Pholidota, Manidae. The record is from RefSeq and is a predicted model, not a curated record.